UACAGAGGGUGCGAGCGUUAAUCGGAAUUACUGGGCGUAAAGCGUGCGUAGACGGUUACGUAAGUCGGGUGUGAAAGCCCCGGGCUCAACCUGGGAAUUGCAUUCGAGACUGCGUAGCUAGGAUGCGGAAGAGGGAAGCGGAAUUUCCGGUGUAGCGGUGAAAUGCGUAGAUAUCAGGAGGAACACCGGUGGUGUAGACGGCUUUCUGGACCGUAACUGACGCUGAGACACGAAAGCGUGGGUAGCAAACAGG
This 253-nucleotide ribosomal RNA is filed under the name uncultured bacterium. RNAcentral's name for it is "partial 16S ribosomal RNA". It matches the Rfam family "Bacterial small subunit ribosomal RNA", at positions 524 to 776 of the family's 1533-position model. The record is from RNAcentral.